This 465-nucleotide ribosomal RNA is filed under the name uncultured bacterium. Its description in RNAcentral is "bacterial SSU rRNA". It matches the Rfam family "Bacterial small subunit ribosomal RNA", at positions 338 to 795 of the family's 1533-position model. The record is from RNAcentral.
CCUACGGGUGGCAGCAGUGGGGAAUUUUGGACAAUGGACGCAAGUCUGAUCCAGCAAUGCCGCGUGCAGGAUGAAGGCCUUCGGGUUGUAAACUGCUUUUGUACGGAGCGAAAAGGUCUACCCUAAUACGGUGGGCCCAUGACGGUACCGUAAGAAUAAGCACCGGCUAACUACGUGCCAGCAGCCGCGGUAAUACGUAGGGUGCAAGCGUUAAUCGGAAUUACUGGGCGUAAAGCGUGCGCAGGCGGUUAUAUAAGACAGAUGUGAAAUCCCCGGGCUCAACCUGGGACCUGCAUUUGUGACUGUAUAGCUAGAGUACGGUAGAGGGGGAUGGAAUUCCGCGUGUAGCAGUGAAAUGCGUAGAUAUGCGGAGGAACACCGAUGGCGAAGGCAAUCCCCUGGACCUGUACUGACGCUCAUGCACGAAAGCGUGGGGAGCAAACAGGAUUAGAUACCCCAGUAGUC